CAGUAGCCGCGGUAACACGGAGGGUGCAAGCGUUAAUCGGAAUUACUGGGCGUAAAGCGCACGCAGGCGGUUUGUUAAGUCAGAUGUGAAAUCCCCGAGCUUAACUUGGGAACUGCAUUUGAAACUGGCAAGCUAGAGUCUUGUAGAGGGGGGUAGAAAUCCAGGUGUAGCGGUGAAAUGCGUAGAGAUCUGGAGGAAUACCGGUGGCGAAGGCGGCCCCCUGGACAAAGACUGACGCUCAGGUGCGAAAGCGUGGGGAGCAAACAGGAUUAGAUACCCGAGUAGUCCCUGUCUCUUAUAC
This 301-nucleotide ribosomal RNA is filed under the name uncultured bacterium. Its description in RNAcentral is "partial 16S ribosomal RNA". It matches the Rfam family "Bacterial small subunit ribosomal RNA", at positions 509 to 807 of the family's 1533-position model. The record is from RNAcentral.